RNAcentral lists this ribosomal RNA (433 nucleotides) under uncultured bacterium. Its description in RNAcentral is "partial 16S ribosomal RNA". It matches the Rfam family "Bacterial small subunit ribosomal RNA", at positions 29 to 507 of the family's 1533-position model. The record is from RNAcentral.
AGCGAACGCUGGCGGCAGGCUUAACACAUGCAAGUCGAGCGGGCCCUUCGGGGUCAGCGGCAGACGGGUGAGUAACACGUGGGAACGUACCCUUGGGUUCGGAAUAACGCUGGGAAACUAGCGCUAAUACCGGAUACGCCCUUUUGGGGAAAGGCUUGCUGCCGAAGGAUCGGCCCGCGUCUGAUUAGCUCGUUGGUGGGGUAAUGGCCUACCAAGGCGACGAUCAGCAGCUGGUCUGAGAGGAUGAUCAGCCACACUGGGACUGAGACACGGCCCAGACUCCUACGGGAGGCAGCAGUGGGGAAUAUUGGACAGUGGGCGCAAGCCUGAUCCAGCCAUGCCGCGUGAGUGAUGAAGGCCUUAGGGUUGUAAAGCUCUUUUGUCCGGGACGAUAAUGACGGUACCGGAAGAAUAAGCCCCGGCUAACUUCGUG